CAAUAGCGUAUAUUAAAAUUGUUGCGGUUAAAAGCUCGUAAUUGGAUUUCUGCCGAGGACGACCGGUCCGCCCUCUGGGUGAGUAUCUGGCUCGGCCUGGGCAUCUUCUUGGAGAACGUAACUGCACUUGAUUGUGUGGUGCGGUAUCCAGGAUUUUUAUUCUGAGGAAAUUAAAAUGUUUCAAGCAGGCACACGCCUUGAAUACAUUAGCAUGGAAUAAUAAUAUAGGACGUCGGUUCUAUUUUGUUGGUUUCUAGAGCUGAGGUAAUGAUUAAUAAGGAUAGUUGGGGGCAUUCGUAUUUAAGUGUCAGACGUGAAGUUCUUGGAUUUGUUAAAGACGGACUACUGCGAAAGCAUUUGCCAAGGAUGUUUUCAUUGAUCAAGAACGAAAGUUAGGGGAUCGAAGACGAUUAGAUACCAU
This 421-nucleotide ribosomal RNA is filed under the name uncultured eukaryote. Its description in RNAcentral is "SSU rRNA". It matches the Rfam family "Eukaryotic small subunit ribosomal RNA", at positions 592 to 1018 of the family's 1831-position model. The record is from RNAcentral.